Molecule: ribosomal RNA, 153 nt
Filed under: uncultured eukaryote
Lineage: Eukaryota
Description: partial small subunit ribosomal RNA
Rfam family: Eukaryotic small subunit ribosomal RNA
Source: RNAcentral
CCCUGCCAUUUGUACACACCGCCCGUCGCUCCUACCGAUUGGAUGCUCAGGUGAAAUCUUCGGAUUGGCCGGUGAGCGGGUUCUCUCGCUUGCCGGCCGAGAAGUUGAUUAAACCUUAUCAUCUAGAGGAAGGAGAAGUCGUAACAAGGUUUC